Molecule: transfer RNA, 87 nt
Filed under: Candidatus Portnoybacteria bacterium CG_4_10_14_0_2_um_filter_43_36
Lineage: Bacteria; Candidatus Portnoyibacteriota
Also listed under: 2 other names
Description: tRNA-Ser
Rfam family: tRNA
About the family: Transfer RNA (tRNA) molecules are approximately 80 nucleotides in length.
Source: RNAcentral
GGAGGAGUCGGAUAAUGGCAUUCCAGCGGCUUGCUAAGCCGUAGCCCUUAAUUGGGCUUGCGGGUUCGAGUCCCGCCUCCUCCGCCA